Molecule: ribosomal RNA, 499 nt
Filed under: uncultured bacterium
Lineage: Bacteria
Description: partial 16S ribosomal RNA
Rfam family: Bacterial small subunit ribosomal RNA
Source: RNAcentral
GACGAACGCUGGCGGCGUGCCUAAUACACGCAAGUCGAGCGAAGUUUUUCUGGUGCUUGCACCGGAAAAACUUAGCGGCGAACGGGUGAGUAACACGUAAAGAACCUGCCUCAUAGACUGGGACAACUAUUGGAAACGAUAGCUAAUACCGGAUAAUAGCAUUAACUGCAUGGUUGAUGUUUAAAAGUUGGUUUUGCUAACACUAUGAGAUGGCUUUGCGGUGCAUUAGCUAGUUGGUGGGGUAAAGGCCUACCAAGGCGACGAUGCAUAGCCGACCUGAGAGGGUGAUCGGCCACACUGGGACUGAGACACGGCCCAGACUCCUACGGGAGGCAGCAGUAGGGAAUCUUCCGCAAUGGGCGAAAGCCUGACGGAGCAACGCCGCGUGAGUGAAGAAGGAUUUCGGUUCGUAAAGCUCUGUUGUUAGGGAAGAAUGAUUGUGUAGUAACGAUACACAGUAGAGACGGUACCUAACCAGAAAGCCACGGCUAACUACGUG